AGCAGCCGCCGCGGUAAUACGUAGGUGGCAAGCGUUGUCCGGAAUUAUUGGGCGUAAAGCGCGCGCAGGCGGAUCAGUCAGUCUGUCUUAAAAGUUCGGGGCUUAACCCCGUGAGGGGAUGGAAACUGCUGAUCUAGAGUAUCGGAGAGGAAAGUGGAAUUCCUAGUGUAGCGGUGAAAUGCGUAGAUAUUAGGAAGAACACCAGUGGCGAAGGCGACUUUCUGGACGAAAACUGACGCUGAGGCGCGAAAGCCAGGGGAGCGAACGGGAUUAGAUACCCGUGUAGUCCCUGUCUCUUAUACA
RNAcentral lists this ribosomal RNA (303 nucleotides) under uncultured bacterium. RNAcentral's name for it is "partial 16S ribosomal RNA". It matches the Rfam family "Bacterial small subunit ribosomal RNA", at positions 507 to 809 of the family's 1533-position model. The record is from RNAcentral.